UUAGCAGAUCGUUCUACCGCAUUGUUUAUACAAUGAGGAAAGUCCGGGCACCGCAGAGCACCAUUUUUCCUAACAGGAAGGUAUCCGUAAGGGUACAGUAACGUAACAGAAAAUAACCGUCGUGCUGGUUAACCAGUAUGAUAAGGGUGAAAAGGUGGGGUAAGAGCCCACCGGUCUCGCUGGCAACAACGAGAGCCGUACGUCUAAUGGGGUGCAAGACCAUGUACAUCGUAAUUAGUUGUGAAAACAAUUUACAGAGCUGCUCGCUUUGAUUUCUUUAGAAAAUUACGAGGGGUGGGUCGCAUGAGCUACCCGGUGACGGGUAGCCUAGAUAAAUGGUAGAAACUUUAGGUUAGCCUAAAGCACAGAACCCGGCUUAUAGAUCUGCUUUUCUU
RNAcentral lists this RNase P RNA (395 nucleotides) under Candidatus Cloacimonadota bacterium. RNAcentral's name for it is "RNase P RNA component class A". It matches the Rfam family "Bacterial RNase P class A". Rfam says of the family: Ribonuclease P (RNase P) is a ubiquitous endoribonuclease, found in archaea, bacteria and eukarya as well as chloroplasts and mitochondria. Its best characterised activity is the generation of mature 5'-ends of tRNAs by cleaving the 5'-leader elements of precursor-tRNAs. Cellular RNase Ps are ribonucleoproteins. The record is from RNAcentral. RNAcentral also lists the same sequence under 1 other name. Lineage: Bacteria; Pseudomonadati; Candidatus Cloacimonadota.